CCAGUUCCUGGAGGGCCAGCCAGAGCACUGUAGAGAUUAGAUGCAACCCUAAUUAAACACACCUGAUCCAGCUAAUCAAGUCCUUCAGGCUUAUUUGAAAACUACAUGGUAUGCGUGUUGGAACUAAACUCUGCAGGGCUGCGGCCCUCCAGGAACUGAGUUUGACACCCCUGAUCUUGGAUAUCUAGGAUCGGUGUAUGACAUCGGUUCCUUAUGCUUUUGAAACGCUCUCGAGGUACUUUGAAUUAAAGCAAUAUAGAAAUCCUGGCCAGGACACGUCCGGGAAAAAUGGCACGUGUGAUCACCCUAGAUAAAGUCAUGAGGCACGUCCUGCCUGAUCUCUAUCUACUCCCAUAAUGCUUUUCACCAGCAACCCCGACCCACUCAUCACUGUAGCGAUCAGAGACAAUCAUCUUCAGACAGAUCCAGGAUAAGCCUCUUGUUGGUCUUUGAUUGGCUUUAUAUAUUGAGAUCAAUUAAACACAUACUGUGUGGAAAUGAGGAUCUCCAGCCUGGCGCUGCUGCUGUCUAUUACCCACAAUGCUUUUCAAGUCAGUUGUGAUAUUGGUUAUGCAAAUUAUAUGUAAAUACAGCUAAUGAACUUGUUUCAUUUGACAAGACUUACCAAGUCUUGAUGUGAUGGGGAAAUACCAUAGAUGGACCGGACAGAGAUACUGUAGAAAGAAAAGUAGAUUAGUUAUUAUAGCAUCAAUCACGUUGCUUUUAGCAGAUAUUACUGAGUUAUGAUGCAACUCCACGUCACAGAGUUUCAGUAGCAUUCAGUAGUAUUUUGGUGCCUCUGCCAAACAAAUCAUAUUUUACCCGAGCUGUGAAUUAUAAUUUAUAGGAUGUUUUGUAUAUAAUGAAAAGAUUGUGCCAAGAAGCAUCUUUCUAAGUUGUCCUCGUGGGCUGCAUGGAAACAAAUAAAGGCUAGGCUAUACAACACAACCCAAUUCAUGAACAAAUUACUUUUAGCCAGUUCUGUUUAGUGAAUCGAUAUAAUCAAGAUACAGCAAGACAAGUGUAGCCCAAUUCUUUAGGUGAAUUGUAUAACACAGCGCGACCCUGAAUUCCAAACGAAAGACUCUUGAGUUCUUUUAGUGAAUCAAAAUAAUACAGCACCACUAAUGCAGUCGGAUUCCCAUACAAAUAACUCUCAUGAAUUGAUUCUUUUAAUGAAUCAUAACAAACAGCACAACCAGUUUAGCCUGAUUUUUUCAAACAAAUGACUCUUGUGAGCUAGUUCUAUUUAGUGAAUCAAAAAUAUACAUUGCCAGUAAUGCAGUCCGAACAAAUGACUCUUCUAAGCUGAAUCUUUUAGUAAAUCAAAACACACGGCACAACCACUGUUUCCUGUUUCCCGAAACCAGUUUAGCCUGAUUUUUCAAAUGAAUGACUCUUAUGAGCUGAUUCUUUUUAGUGAAUCCAAAACCUUCAGCUUGUUUCACAAACUUUUACC
This is a long non-coding RNA of Onychostoma macrolepis, 1459 nucleotides long. RefSeq lists it as uncharacterized. NCBI's taxonomy places the organism in Eukaryota, Metazoa, Chordata, Actinopteri, Cypriniformes, Cyprinidae. The record is from RefSeq and is a predicted model, not a curated record. The transcript is spliced from 3 exons.